GGGUUGUGAGGUUAAGCGAAUAAGCGUACACGGUGGAUGCCUAGGCAAUCAGAGGCGAUGAAGGACGUGCUAAUCUGCGAAAAGCGUCGGUAAGGUGAUAUGAACCGUUAUACCCGACGAUAUCCGAAUGGGGAAACCCAGUAUCCAAUGGAUACUAUCAUUAACUGAAUCCAUAGGUUAAUGAGGCGAACCGGGAGAACUGAAACAUCUCAGUACCCCGAGGAAAAGAAAUCAACCGAGAUUCCCCUAGUAGCGGCGAGCGAACGGGGAGCAGCCCAGAGUCUUAAUCAAUAGCAGUGUCAGGAGAACGGUCUGGAAAGUCCGGCAGUAAAGGGUGAUAGCCCCGUAUCUGAAGAUGCUGUUAUUGUGAACUCGACGAGUAGGGCGGGACACGUGUUAUCCUGUCUGAAUAUGGGGGGACCAUCCUCCAAGGCUAAAUACUCCUGAUUGACCGAUAGUGAACCAGUACCGUGAGGGAAAGGCGAAAAGAACCCCGGCGAGGGGAGUGAAAAAGAACCUGAAACCGUGUACGUACAAGCAGUAGGAGCCUCUUUAUGGGGUGACUGCGUACCUUUUGUAUAAUGGGUCAGCGACUUAUAUUCUGUAGCAAGGUUAACCGUAUAGGGGAGCCGUAGGGAAACCGAGUCUUAACUGGGCGAAUGAGUUGCAGGGUAUAGACCCGAAAC
This 686-nucleotide ribosomal RNA is filed under the name Proteus mirabilis. RNAcentral's name for it is "bacterial LSU rRNA". It matches the Rfam family "Bacterial large subunit ribosomal RNA", at positions 1 to 721 of the family's 2925-position model. The record is from RNAcentral. Lineage: Bacteria; Pseudomonadati; Pseudomonadota; Gammaproteobacteria; Enterobacterales; Morganellaceae.